UUUGGGAUCCAUCAGAAAUAGGUAUCUAAAAUGAGAAAGCCACAAACAAAAUAAAUCGAGUUAAAUUAAAGCAAUCUGUAACCUGUAGGAAACAUUCAAGAACCAAACAAAUAAAUAAGCAUUUCUAAAACUAGCAAAUAAUAUGGAAUCUGUAUUUUACAAGGUACUCGGAAUAAAUAACAAUUAUCUAAAGUAACGUCAGUGAGGCAUGAGACA
This is a long non-coding RNA of Anoplophora glabripennis (Asian longhorned beetle), 216 nucleotides long. RefSeq lists it as uncharacterized. The record is from RefSeq and is a predicted model, not a curated record. Lineage: Eukaryota; Metazoa; Arthropoda; Insecta; Coleoptera; Cerambycidae. The transcript has 3 exons.